Molecule: ribosomal RNA, 160 nt
Filed under: uncultured bacterium
Lineage: Bacteria
Description: partial 16S ribosomal RNA
Rfam family: Bacterial small subunit ribosomal RNA
Source: RNAcentral
UGAGGAAUAUUGGUCAAUGGGCGAGAGCCUGAACCAGCCAAGUCGCGUGAGGGAAGACGGUCCUAUGGAUUGUAAACCUCUUUUGCCGGGGAGCAAAGAGCGGCACGUGUGCCGCGCCGAGAGUACCCGGAGAAAAAGCAUCGGCUAACUCCGUGCCAGA